CCUGCACCUGCCGGCGACCGGCGCACGGGUGAGUAACACGUAUGGAACCUGCCCGCCACAGGGGGAUAACCCGGGGAAACCCGGCCUAAUACCCCAUGCCGCCCGGACCGGGCAUCCGGUCCGGGCGAAAGGAGGAAUCCGGUGGCGGCUGGGCAUGCGGCGCAUUAGCUUGACGGCGGGGUAGCGGCCCACCGUGGCGACGAUGCGUAGGGGUUCUGAGAGGAAGGUCCCCCACACUGGUACUGAGACACGGACCAGACUCCUACGGGAGGCAGCAG
Molecule: ribosomal RNA, 278 nt
Filed under: uncultured bacterium
Lineage: Bacteria
Description: partial 16S ribosomal RNA
Rfam family: Bacterial small subunit ribosomal RNA
Source: RNAcentral